UUUAAAUCUAUGUGUGUUAUCCAUGUGGCAUGUUAAUGCGGACAAAAAAAAAGUUUAAGUGAAAAGAAAGCUUGAGCAUAUGACUCACUUGGUGCCUAAAACACCAAAAAUGACAAUUUUGAUGCCCUCCUAAGAUUGUUGCUUUCUUUUGUUGAUUAGACUGAGUUGAUAGAGAGAGCGAGGGUGCGUUUUGGGUGUUUUAUGCACUAGGUGGAUCCCACUUCAAG
Molecule: unclassified non-coding RNA, 227 nt
Filed under: Hevea brasiliensis (rubber tree)
Lineage: Eukaryota; Viridiplantae; Streptophyta; Magnoliopsida; Malpighiales; Euphorbiaceae
Source: RNAcentral